UUGAGUCUCCACCAGAAACUAUUUCUGAUGCCCCGCCUUUUUCCUCGGUAAAAUAUCAUUUCUCUACUCAUCUUAAUCAUAAUCUUUUUCUCUACUCAUUAUUUUUGUUUAUUUCUGUUUUCAGUCGAUUCCUGCUUCUCCAUCGGUCCCAGCUUCAGACAAAAGACCGAUUGAAGUUGUUCAAGUCACUCCUCCGCCGUCUUCC
Molecule: long non-coding RNA, 205 nt
Filed under: Ananas comosus (pineapple)
Lineage: Eukaryota; Viridiplantae; Streptophyta; Magnoliopsida; Poales; Bromeliaceae
Description: long non-coding RNA (ACOM_LNC024469)
Source: RNAcentral